Molecule: ribosomal RNA, 440 nt
Filed under: uncultured bacterium
Lineage: Bacteria
Description: partial 16S ribosomal RNA
Rfam family: Bacterial small subunit ribosomal RNA
Source: RNAcentral
CCUACGGGGGGCAGCAGUAAGGGAUAUUGGUCAAUGGGGGAAACCCUGAACCAGCAACGCCGCGUGAGGGAAGACGGUUUUCGGAUCGUAAACCUCUGUCCUCUGUGAAGAUGGUGACGGUAGCAGAGGAGCAAGCUCCGGCUAACUACGUGCCAGCAGCCGCGGUAAUACGUAGGGCGCGAGCGUUGUCCGGAUUUACUGGGCGUAAAGGGAGCGUAGGCGGACUUUUAAGUCAGAUGUGAAAUACGCGGGCUCAACUUGGGUGCUGCAUUUCAAACUGGAAGUCUAGAGUGCAGGAGAGGAUAAUGGAAUUCCUAGUGUAGCGGUGAAAUGCGUAGAGAUUAGGAAGAACACCAGUGGCGAAGGCGAUUCUCUGGACUGUAACUGACGCUGAGGCUCGAAAGCGUGGGGAGCAAACAGGAUUAGAUACCCGGGUAGUC